UAGUCCACGCCGUAAACGAUGUGUGCUAGAUGUCGGGGCCUUAGGCUUCGGUGUCGCAGCUAACGCACUAAGCACACCGCCUGGGGAGUACGGUCGCAAGAUUAAAACUCAAAGGAAUUGACGGGGACCCGCACAAGCGGUGGAGCAUGUUGUUUAAUUCGAAGCAACGCGAAGAACCUUACCCACACUUGACAUACUCGUCGGGGAUUAUAGAGAUAUUUUCCUUCGGUUCGGCCGGACGAUGUACAGGUGCUGCACGGCUGUCGUCAGCUCGUGUCGUGAGAUGUUUGGUUAAGUCCAGCAACGAGCGCAACCCCUAUCGUAUGUUACCAGCCUUUAGUUGGGGACUCAUGCGAGACUGCCGGUGUUAAGCCGGAGGAAGGUGGGGACGACGUCAAGUCAUCAUGGCCCUUACGUGUGGGGCUACAAACGUGCUACAAUGGCCGGUAUAAUGCGAAGCGAAGCCGCGAGGUGGAGCAAAUCGAAAAAGCCGGUCUCAGUUCGGAUUGGGGG
Molecule: ribosomal RNA, 513 nt
Filed under: uncultured bacterium
Lineage: Bacteria
Description: bacterial SSU rRNA
Rfam family: Bacterial small subunit ribosomal RNA
Source: RNAcentral